This 400-nucleotide ribosomal RNA is filed under the name uncultured Alphaproteobacteria bacterium. Its description in RNAcentral is "bacterial SSU rRNA". It matches the Rfam family "Bacterial small subunit ribosomal RNA", at positions 29 to 478 of the family's 1533-position model. The record is from RNAcentral. Lineage: Bacteria; Pseudomonadati; Pseudomonadota; Alphaproteobacteria.
AACGAACGCUGGCGGCAGGCCUAACACAUGCAAGUCGAGCGCGCCUUCGGGUGAGCGGCGGACGGGUUAGUAACGCGUGGGAAUAUGCCCAAUGGUACGGAAUAGCCUCUGGAAACGGAGAGUAAUACCGUAUGUGCCCUUCGGGGGAAAGAUUUAUCGCCAUUGGAUUAGCCCGCGUUGGAUUAGGUAGUUGGUGGGGUAAUGGCCUACCAAGCCUACGAUCCAUAGCUGGUUGAGAGGAUGAUCAGCAACACUGGGACUGAGACACGGCCCAGACUCCUACGGGAGGCAGCAGUGGGGAAAUCUUCGGCAAAUGGGGGCAACCCUGACCGAGCCAUGCCGCGUGAGUGAUGAAGGCCUAGGCGUAAAGCUCUUUCGCCUGUGAUGAUAAUGACGGUAG